AGAAGAAAAGAGGAUUAGGGCUGGUGUUUGAGACCUUUCACCUUCACGUCUUCUUCCUCACGAGAACGGUGACGGUGCGACGAACCCUCUCCGCUCGCCGAUCAACUCAACCACUCGCAGCGACGGCCGAAGAAUUCAUCCCCACUCGAUCUCGAACAUCUCCGCUCAAACUCUCCCUUCGUCUCGACCUCUCCGUCCCAAGCUUUCCGCUUUACAAAAGUUCUAAAAGCCGGAUGGAGUUCCGGCGACCCAAACGGUGGAGAUGUGCAAGAAUUCCGGAGAAAUAAGCUCUAAUUAUCAGAUGCAAGAAUUCCCAUGUUGAAGCGCUUGCAGAUGAAGAGGAUUUUUCUGUUAUUUGUUUGAAGGUCGUCGAUGAAGAUGAAGAAGGUUUAAGCGUGGAGGAGAUGGAAGAAUGAAGGGAGUGAUAAAGUGCAGUGAAGAUGGUGGUGAUGAAGUAGAGUGAUUGAUGAAGAAGCAGGGUGGUUGAAGGAAUGAAUUAAGAGAAUGAGUGAAGGUGAAGAAGGUUGGAUGAAUCAGAGAAAAAUGGCUGAGAAGGUGAAGAAGAAUGGAAGAUUCCAAGAUGAGAAAAGGGAAGAUGAAGUGUGAAAAUGGUGAAGAUGAUGAAAUGUUCAGAAGUGGUUAAGAGAGAUUGAAAGUGAAUUGUGGAGUGAGGAUUGGUGAAUGAUGAAGAUGGGAGCAGAGAAGUGAAUGGUCGUGAAUGAAUGGAAGUGAAGGGAGAGUGAAGAAUGGAUCCAGAGCUGAUUCUGAAGAAGAAGCUCAAGUUAUAUAGAGGUUGAUUCUCAAGGCUUUGAGUUAUGGUUUGAUAUGGAUGUGAAGAGACGUAUGGUGCCUUGAAGAUAAAAAAACUUGAAGAUUUUGAGGAGGCUUAUGGAAGUAUGAAGAUGUGAUGCUGUUGUAGGAGAAUUAGGAUUUGUAGUAGAGUAUAUUUUUCUGAAUUUAUUGUAAUGAAGUUUGGCAAUUUGCAAUGAAUGGAUCUUGUGGAAUUUGGAUGAUGUGGUAUUGACAUUUGAUUUGAAUUUUGAAUGAUGACUUUUCCCUCCA
Molecule: long non-coding RNA, 1062 nt
Organism: Vicia villosa (hairy vetch)
Lineage: Eukaryota; Viridiplantae; Streptophyta; Magnoliopsida; Fabales; Fabaceae
Exons: 3
Source: RefSeq, a predicted model, not a curated record